RNAcentral lists this ribosomal RNA (272 nucleotides) under uncultured bacterium. Its description in RNAcentral is "partial 16S ribosomal RNA". It matches the Rfam family "Bacterial small subunit ribosomal RNA", at positions 793 to 1055 of the family's 1533-position model. The record is from RNAcentral.
GUCCUAGCCGUAAACGAUGGGCACUGGGCAGGGGAGUACCUAUGAUUCUCUCUGCCGUAGCUAAUGUGUUAAGUGCCCCGCCUGGGGAGUACGCUCGCAAGGGUAAAACUCAAAGAAAUUGACGGGGGCUCACACAAGCGGUGGAGCAUGUGGUUCAAUUCGAAGCAACGCGAAGAACCUUACCUGGCCUUGACAUGCACGGAUUAGUCCCGUGAAAGCGGGAUAACAGCUCUUCGGAGUCGGAACGUGCACAGGUGUUGCAUGGCUGUCGU